UGGGGAAUAUUGGACAAUGGGGGCAACCCUGAUCCAGCCAUGCCGCGUGAGUGAAGAAGGCCUUCGGGUUGUAAAGCUCUUUCGGCGGGGACGAUGAUGACGGUACCCGCAUAAGAAGCCCCGGCUAACUUCGUGCCAGCAGCCGCGGUAAUACGAAGGGGGCUAGCGUUGUUCGGAAUUACUGGGCGUAAAGCGCGCGUAGGCGGCGACCUUUGUCAGAGGUGAAAUCCCGAGGCUCAACUUCGGAAUUGCCUUUGAAACGGGGUUGCUUGAGUCCGAGAGAGGAUGGCGGAAUUCCUAGUGUAGAGGUGAAAUUCGUAGAUAUUAGGAAGAACACCGGUGGCGAAGGCGGCCAUCUGGCUCGGUACUGACGCUCAGGCGCGAAAGCGUGGGGAUCAAA
RNAcentral lists this ribosomal RNA (400 nucleotides) under uncultured bacterium. RNAcentral describes it as "bacterial SSU rRNA". It matches the Rfam family "Bacterial small subunit ribosomal RNA", at positions 355 to 772 of the family's 1533-position model. The record is from RNAcentral.